This 1082-nucleotide long non-coding RNA is filed under the name Helianthus annuus (common sunflower). Its description in RNAcentral is "hypothetical non coding rna". The record is from RNAcentral. Lineage: Eukaryota; Viridiplantae; Streptophyta; Magnoliopsida; Asterales; Asteraceae.
CCCCAAAGUGAAGUGCCGCCCAAAUAUCCAUUGGAAUUUGCCCUAAUUUACACACUUCAGAGAAUAGGCGAAUCGAUCUGCACACCAUGAAGCCGCCGGCGAUUCGAUCCGCAGACUGUGAAUCAGCGUCGCUUUUCUUCUGGUUCAGGGGGACAAAUUUAAUUUUCUGAAGCAUAAAAGAGAAAGAAGUUCCUCAUUGUUUCACAACAGAUGGUGAUUAAAUAUUUGUUUUAUUCCAUUAAUGAACUCAUUGUUUUAUUACAAACCAGAUAAAUACAAAUAAUUGUCUUUCAAGUUUUAAAGUCCCUAAGGCACGAGUCCAUCCUAUGUGUAGCAUGCAUCAACAAUCAUCACAUAGUAGCACCUGAAACAUAUGUGAAAAUAGGUGCGGAAUUACAAGAAACGGAGUUAGAAAUAGCUAAUUCUUCACUAAAACUGCUGAUUGUAUUGAUUAACACUCGAUUACACGUAGUUCAUCACACCGGCAGCACUUCGGCAUGGAAUACAAGACAAUUGAUCUGGUUUCGCUCAUAUGAAUACCUAUAUAUAGUUGCUGUGGUUUCGCUUAUAAGUACCUGUCCACAUAAGCGAAACCCCUAUGUUCACAUAACCGAAACCUCUAGCCUAUGACCAUAUGAGCGAAACCUGCUCACUAAUUACAUACAUUUUCAGUUUUCUUGUAAAACGCGCCCUAAACAAUACAAUACAAUGUAAGACUCGAUACAAGACGAAGUCGACAGAUGUAGUGUACCAACAGACUCCCCCUCAGAUGUUGACGAGUUGACUAUCGAGUCACGACAUUACUGUUUCUUCACUUCUUCAGUCUUGAUCAGUCUCUAAUGCAACUUAAUUCAACAUAAAGGUUGCAUUAAAAGAUAUAAUGUAACCUUUUCACAAAAAAGUUACAAAAUAUUAUUAAAAUUGCAACUUUUUUAUUUAAAUGUUGCAUAUUUUACUAAAAAUUGCAACUUUUUCUUUAAAGGUUGCAUGUUUUAUUGAAAUUUGUAACUUUUGUUAUAAAAGUUGCGUUGUUAAAACUUGAAUGCAAUUCUAGUGUUAAAAGGUUGCAUAAUUCAAUUAGU